Molecule: ribosomal RNA, 404 nt
Filed under: uncultured prokaryote
Description: bacterial SSU rRNA
Rfam family: Bacterial small subunit ribosomal RNA
Source: RNAcentral
UGGGGGAUAUUGCACAAUGGAGGAAACUCUGAUGCAGCAACGCCGCGUGAGGGAAGAAGGUCUUCGGAUUGAAAACCUUUGACCUUGGUGACGAUAAUGAGGGUAGCCAAGGAGGAAGCUCCGGCGAACUACGUGCCAGCAGCCGCGGUAAUACGUAGGGAGCGAGCGUUGUCCGGAUUUACUGGGCGUAAAGGGAGCGUAGGUGGAUAUUUAAGUGGGAUGUGAAAUACUCGGGCUUAACCUGGGUGCUGCAUUCCAAACUGGAUAUCUAGAGUGCAGGAGAGGAAAGUAGAAUUCCUAGUGUAGCGGUGAAAUGCGUAGAGAUUAGGAAGAAUACCAGUGGCGAAGGCGACUUUCUGGACUGUAACUGACACUGAGGCUCGAAAGCGUGGGGAGCAAACAGG